Molecule: ribosomal RNA, 274 nt
Filed under: uncultured bacterium
Lineage: Bacteria
Description: partial 16S ribosomal RNA
Rfam family: Bacterial small subunit ribosomal RNA
Source: RNAcentral
AUACGAGGGGGGCUAGCGUUGUCCGGAAUCAUUGGGUGUAAAGGGCUCGUAGGCGGGCCAGACAGUUGGGAUUUAAAUACCACGGCUUAACCGUGGAACUGGUCUCAAUACUACUGGUCUUGAGUGUGGCAGAGGAUGAUGGAAUUCCUGGUGUAGUGGUGGAAUGCGUAGAUAUCAGGAGGAACACCGAUGGCGAAGGCAGUCAUCUGGGCCAACACUGACGCUGAGGAGCGAAAGCGUGGGGAGCAAACAGGAUUAGAAACCCCGGUAGUCC